RNA transcript from Gambusia affinis (western mosquitofish), 2111 nucleotides. It is a transcript of the gene named oocyte zinc finger protein XlCOF20-like, with no coding region annotated. The record is from RefSeq and is a predicted model, not a curated record. The transcript is spliced from 4 exons. NCBI's taxonomy places the organism in Eukaryota, Metazoa, Chordata, Actinopteri, Cyprinodontiformes, Poeciliidae.
GGACGCUUUGUUUCAGAGCAGAAAGCGGCCGGAGGAAACGUGGACAUGCUGAGCUGCAGAAAGCUUCACGGAGUUUAUUGACGUAGAGAUGGAUCCGGUUCUAAACCUGGAAGUUCGGGUUCUGCUCCACAGAACAGACGUUCAACAGCAGCAUGUCUGCAAACAGGAGAGGGUUCUGAAACAGGAGGAACCAGAACCUCCGGAUAUUAAAGAGGAGCAGGACGAGCAGAACCGGACUCCUACGGACGAACAGGGAAAACCAAACAAGUGCCAACGGGACGUUAUCUUGGAUACUCGUCAUAUAAAACAGGAGAAUAUUUCCAGACCGGACCAGGAGGAACCAGAACCUCCACAGAUCAAAGAGGAAGAGAAGAAUCCACGCCACAGUCAGGCCGAAAACCAGCUUGAACUGAACCAGGAGACCAAGGCUGUUAGUUUGACCUCUGCUAACGAGGAACAACACCAAAGUGAAUCCGAACCAAACCGGAACCAGCUCAGAAGAACCAGCAGUGAAGCAGACACCUCACCCGUCUCAGGGAGUCGGAGCGACACAGGAUCUGAUCAGAAACCUUUGCAGUGUUCCCACUGUGGGAAAACGUUUGUGUGUAGAGCCAAACUGACGGCUCACACACGAGUUCACACCGGAGAGAAGCCGUUUGUUUGUAAAAUGUGUGGGAAAAGAUUCAGAACCAACGAUUGCUUAAAGCGACAUGUGCUAAUCCACACAGGUGAGAAACCUUGGAUUUGUGAGAUCUGUGGGAAUAGAUUCAGUCAGAGCUACUACCUAUCAGUUCACACCAGAACCCACACCGGAGAGAAACCGUACCACUGUGAGGUGUGUGGGAAAAGUUUCCCCAGCAACUCCGCCUUGCGCAGUCACACCAGUGUCCACACGGCGGAGAGGCCACAUGUGUGUGAAGAAUGUGGGAAAAGCUUUGGACGGAAGGGAACAUUAGACAAACACAGGAGAACCCACACCGGAGAGAAACCGUAUUUCUGUGAGACGUGUGGAAAACUUUUCAGAGACAACUACACGUUAUCGCAGCACAUAAAAAUCCACGCGAGGUAAUAAAACAGAGUUGCCAUGGUGACCACGUGAAAAGUCCGACUGCGGUCGGCCGGCAUGUCAUGAAAGUUUCAAACUCAACACCGAUACCAAGAAAUGAAUAAUUUUAAAAACGUUCUUAGUUUAUUACCCACAGCAAACACCGGUUUGUUUCUUUGCUUCUCUAUUUAGCAGCAGCUGGGCUGUCGGCUGAUUAACAUCUUCUGCAUUAAAUGGCAGCAUUAACUGGAGUUUGACCCCCACACCAGGGGGUCAAACUCCAGUCCUGGAGGUCCGAUGUCCUGCAGCCUUUAGAUGAGCCUCUGCUGCAGCACCUGAACAGAAUACUGAGGUCAUUAAGGUUCUGGAGAACCGAUCCACACAGGAGGAGGUCAUGAAGCCGUUUCAUUCCAGGGUUUUGUGGAUCAUCUAAAACCUGCAGCACAGUGACUGGAGGACUGGAGUCUGACUCCUGUACCAAAACCCAUUUCAGGAGCAAAAUGAGAUAAAAACAUAAAUACAGUAUCAAAGGUUAUUAUAGAAUAUGUGAUGUAAAAACUAAACUGGAGCUGAAUGGUUCUAGUGCCGAGUACAGAUAUUUGAAUGUCCUUCCUGUAAAUAUUUUCCAUAAUAAUGUUAACUAAGGUCACAUUUUCAGUUCCAAAUCCAACAGCCUGAUUUGUUAAACAAAUUUUUGUCGCUGAAACGAUCAUAUCCUCCUCCACCUGUGAUGUUGUGCAUUUAAUGGACUCUUUAUACAACAGCUUCCGUUUGGGAAAAGCGGCUCGGUCGUUUUCAGUCUGUUGAAAAUGUGAUUUUACACUCGGUGCUUGCAGGGCUUAGCCAAGGUAACAAUUAGUGAUGAACGUCGAUCCGAAGCUCUGACAAGUAAUCUGGAGAAAAGUUUUAAGAAGUUCGCCUCGUUAUACGUUCACAGACACGAAGGGAGCAGCCAGCAGAGGGAGCAGCAGAGCCGACGGCACCCGGUUCUGCCCGGUUCUUCCGGGUUCUGCCCGUUCUGGGUUCCACUCACCUGGUGGAUGACGUAGAUGCCGUAGCUGAGCUG